Molecule: ribosomal RNA, 465 nt
Filed under: uncultured bacterium
Lineage: Bacteria
Description: partial 16S ribosomal RNA
Rfam family: Bacterial small subunit ribosomal RNA
Source: RNAcentral
ACGAACGCUGGCGGCGUGCUUAACACCUGCCAGUCGCACGGAAAGGCCCUGCUUGCAGGGUACUCGAGUGGCGAACGGGUGAGUAACACGUGGGUGAUCUGCCCUGCACUUCGGGAUAAGCUUGGGAAACUGGGUCUAAUACCGGAUAGGAGCCAUCUUUAGUGUGGUGGUUGGAAAGUUUUUUCGGUGUAGGAUGAGCUCGCGGCCUAUCAGCUUGUUGGUGGGGUAAUGGCCUACCAAGGCGGCGACGGGUAGCCGGCCUGAGAGGGUGUACGGCCACAUUGGGACUGAGAUACGGCCCAGACUCCUACGGGAGGCAGCAGUGGGGAAUAUUGCACAAUGGGCGCAAGCCUGAUGCAGCGACGCCGCGUGGGGGAUGAAGGCCUUCGGGUUGUAAACUCCUUUCGCUAGGGACGAAGCUUUUUUGUGACGGUACCUAGAUAAGAAGCACCGGCUAACUACGUG